GGACUCUUGGUAACGGAUAUCUCGGCUCUUGCAUCGAUGAAGAACGUAGCGAAAUGCGAUACUUGGUGUGAUUUGUAGAAUCCUAUGAACCAUCGAGUCUUUGAAUGCAAGUUGCGCUCAAGGCCUUCUGGCCGAGGGCGCGCCUGCCUGGGCGUCACACACCGCGUUGCCUGCACCCAACCCAGGGUGAGGGCGAAGAUUGGCCGACAAUGCUCCUCGGGGCGCGGCGGGCUGAAAGUUGUAUCUCGAUUGCCCCUGGCGGGGCAUCGGCACGAUGUUGGGUGGUCACCAGGGCUCCAUGAGCCGAUGCGAUCGGACGCUGUGCACGCCGCCUCCCAGGGCACCAAGGCACCCCAGAUUGCGACGCGACCCUAGGUCAGGCGGGGGCACCCGCUGAGUUUAAGCAUAUAAAUAAGCAAAGGAAA
RNAcentral lists this ribosomal RNA (425 nucleotides) under Mitrephora thorelii. RNAcentral's name for it is "eukaryotic LSU rRNA". The stretch from base 2 to 157 matches the Rfam family "5.8S ribosomal RNA". Lineage: Eukaryota; Viridiplantae; Streptophyta; Magnoliopsida; Magnoliales; Annonaceae. The record is from RNAcentral.